UGGUUAGCUCAGUUGGUAGAGCGCUCCACCUGUAAUGGAGAGGUCCCGGGUUCGAUACCUCGACCA
Molecule: transfer RNA, 66 nt
Filed under: Ixodes scapularis (black-legged tick)
Lineage: Eukaryota; Metazoa; Arthropoda; Arachnida; Ixodida; Ixodidae
Rfam family: tRNA
About the family: Transfer RNA (tRNA) molecules are approximately 80 nucleotides in length.
Source: Rfam by way of RNAcentral